This 323-nucleotide ribosomal RNA is filed under the name uncultured Lachnospiraceae bacterium. RNAcentral's name for it is "bacterial SSU rRNA". It matches the Rfam family "Bacterial small subunit ribosomal RNA", at positions 355 to 695 of the family's 1533-position model. The record is from RNAcentral. Lineage: Bacteria; Bacillati; Bacillota; Clostridia; Lachnospirales; Lachnospiraceae.
UGGGGAAUAUUGCACAAUGGGGGAAACCCUGAUGCAGCAACGCCGCGUGAGUGAAGAAGUAUUUCGGUAUGUAAAGCUCUAUCAGCAGGGAAGAAAAUGACGGUACCUGACUAAGAAGCCCCGGCUAACUACGUGCCAGCAGCCGCGGUAAUACGUAGGGGGCAAGCGUUAUCCGGAUUUACUGGGUGUAAAGGGGGCGUAGACGGCGAUGCAAGUCUGAAGUGAAAUACCCGGGCUCAACUUGGGAACUGCUUUGGAAACUGUAUGGCUAGAGUGCUGGAGAGGUAAGCGGAAUUCCUAGUGUAGCGGUGAAAUGCGUAGAU